This 24605-nucleotide long non-coding RNA is filed under the name Capsicum annuum. Its description in RNAcentral is "long non-coding RNA (CANN_LNC004232)". The record is from RNAcentral. Lineage: Eukaryota; Viridiplantae; Streptophyta; Magnoliopsida; Solanales; Solanaceae.
UUACGGCCGCUAUAGUGAACUCGCUAAGAGAUGAUACCAACUGCUGGACUCUCCUAGAUUCGCCCUUUAAAACAUGCACUCAGAUUUUUUACCAUAGUGGAAAGAAACCAUUUUAUACACUCAACGACCGUAGAAGCGAACUCGAAGCUUGGGAUCUUCAUAACAAUCCAAUUAAGAGGUUUGACUUUGAGAGCAUCAGACUGAAGUCUUGGGUGGUGAGCCCUUUCCUAUUUACAAGAGGGAUAAGGUUAAGUCAAAACUCCGAAGAUGGCCAGAGAGAAAGGAUUACUUGGUGUACGACCACCAAAGCGAGGAGCUUUUUGUUGUUACACGCCACGCUUAUGAUGAACAUGAUCUCCUUCCCAACAACAAGACUACAACUUUUGGUAUUUUCAAGGUUGUUUUCAUAGGCGAUCAUCUUGUGAAGCUUCAACUCUUGAAAAAGAAUAGCAUUGGCAAUAUUCUUGCAAUCUUCCUUAACGACUAUGGGGGUUUUACUCUCUCAACCACAAAAUUUCCUGAAUUAAGGCCUAGUUCUAUUUACUUUGCUGAUAACCGACCAGGUUGUUAUGACACUUAUUCCGAUUGGCGUUAUCAGGAUUUGGUAAUUUUUGACUACAAAAAAGAUAGCAUUAUGGACAAGAUAAACAACAUUUCACUGCUUCGUAGUUGGUUUAUCCCGGAUGCUUAGCAUAGCCUAGGCUUUAUUAGUAUUUCUUAAAAGCUAGAUCUGUAGAUUUAUCUUUAUUCAUUAUCUCUUUAUUUACCAUUCAGUCUUGCACUCAGUUACCAUUUUUUUCUUUUAAAGACUAUGUUUAAUUUCUUCUAUACUGACUUUUAUUAAUUCAAUUAGCCAGAGAGUCGAGAUUGCGUUGUAUUAGCAAAAAAAGAGCAAAGGGGGGUCUAGAUCUGACCUUAAUACAACACUAAGCCUAGGUGAAAGCAACACCCAAAAAAGACCAAAAGGCAUACAACAUCAACUGUUAGUGCCUUCUGGGAGAUGAAACCAAAAGUAAACUAACUUACAAAGAAAUUAGCUCUAUCAUAUUUGCACCUAAUGCUUGGUAGUUGCCAUUUAUCUAUCAAGAAAGCUACUCUAGCUUGUCUCAAAAGAUUGUUGUAAGAGUGAGUGAUGAGAAUUUGGUUUGAGUUAGAGGCCAGUUUUUCUAAGAAUUCUUCCAAUUUGAUUUCCUUCUCUAUAGCAGUGUUGAAGUUGCAUCUGGACUCUAUUUUUGGUGUUGUUGAUAUAGUCUAUUAUUGGUUUGAGCUUCAUAUUGGUCAUCCCAUUGUUGUUGAGCAUGCUAACUAGCUCCAUAGAGUCGAGUUCUAGAGUAAAUUAAAAUUGGUAUGUAUGGUUUGAUAACACUAUUUUAUGCCAAACUCGUCAGCCAUGGCCUCAACCAUGUUGCUACUACUGGAAUAAACAGGAAUAGAGAAGGCCAUGAUUAGUUCUCCAUGACUAUUCCUCCAAUUCCAGAUCUCCCAUUUUCACAAAUGUAGUUGCCAUACGAUUUGAUUUUUAAAGUCCCUGCACAAGGCAUUUUCCAUUUGACUUGUUUAAUCCACUGUAUUGCCCUAAGAUGUUCAGCUUCAAGACAAAAAACUGGCUAGUUAUUGUUCUCAUAAAAGCUAUUAAGAGUUCUUGUCAAAAUGCUAUUGACACUCCAUUGAUACUCCCAAUUUCUUAUAACACAUCUUAUUUCUAUGAAAAUAUCUUUAAUUUGCCCUCCAUAUUUGCAGGCACACCAUUGCUUUGAAAUCUCCCAGCAUAUAAUUGUGUUGGGUUCGAAAUCAAGAGGGCGUCAUGCGGAAGCUAUUAGUUGCAAACUAUGAGACGAUAAAUAAGAUGACAACGAAAAAUAACACUAAAAACAUAAUUUUAUUAUAUGAUUUGGCCAAUUGGCCUACAUAUAAAACCUAAUAUUUAAAAUAAUAUUAAAAAUCCUAAAACUUAUUGGGAGAAAUCUCCCCCUUAACAAAGACUCUUUAAAGACUACACUGUGGAUGCUAUUGUGUUAUGGUAUGAGAUGGGGGUGUUCUAUUUAUAGAGUUUCAAAACCUUUCCUCCAAGAAAGUGGUUAGUCAAAUAUGAAAAAGAAUUAUAUUUUUUCUUUCAGGAAAAGUAAAAGUAAUUAUGGUAACUUUUAUUUUCCUUCUAAGAAAAAAUAAAACCUAAAUAUAGUAAGAAAAUCAGGGCAAAAACCCUAACAAAUCUCCUUUUUUUGGCUUGAUUUUCUUUUAUUGAUCCGUCUUCUCUUCAUAUCAUGGGCAUGAACUUCGUUCUUGAUAUAAUCUUCAUAACUGCUGCUUGUCAUGGUUAAAAAUAAGGUUUAAAAUAUCAUGGUUAAAAAUUGGUUUAAAAGUAAUAUUUUAUUUUUAUUUUUAAAGAUGUAGCAACAGGAAUGUUGAAAAUAUGGUUGAAAUUUGUUCUCCACAUGUAGUUCGACAAAAAUCUUCAUUAUCGCCCAAAUUGUUGCAGCUUGAUUUUGAAACUGCUUUGAAUCUGUUUAAUCUCGUCUCACCACAUCAUUGGACCAUUGAACCGUAAGCUAUGAUACCACUUGUUGGGUUCGAAAUCAAGAGAGCGUCAUGCGGAAGCUAUUAGUUGCAAACUAUGAGACGAUAAAUAAGAUGACAACGAAAAAUAAUACUAAAAACAUAAUUUUAUUAUAUGAUUUGGCCAAUUGGCCUACAUAUAAAACCUAAUAUUAAAAAUCCUAAAUUGGCCUACAUAUAAAACCUAAUAUUAAAAAUCCUAAAACAUAUUGAUAGAAAUCUCCCCCUAAACAAAGAUUCUUUAAAGACUACAUUGUAGAUGCUAUUGUGUUAUGGUAUGAGAAGGGGGUGUUUUAUUUAUAGAGUUCCAAAUCUUUUCCUCCAAGAAAGAGGUUAGCUAAAUAUGGAAAAGAAUUAUAUUUUUUCUUUCAGGAAAAGUAAAAGUAAUUAUGGUAAUUUUUAUUUUUGAAAAAAUAAAAAUUAAAUAUAGUAAGAAAAUCAGGACAAAACCUCUGACAAAUUGUAGGGUUGAUCUUCGGCAUAAUUUUGUAAAUAUCAUUGACUGGCUUUAUGCCCCACCACGUCUUGAAAUUUGUGCCAUAAUUUGAUUAAUAUGUUGGAUGACCAGAGGAUUUCCUAGCGUGCUCCACACUUGUGUUGUUGCUUAGUCUUCUCCAAAAAUUUUGAUACCUUGUAUCACUUUGUACAUUCCUACAACAAAAACAAUCAUUUUGUGAGUUGAUAUUCAUUCUAAUAAUUAUGUCAUUGAAAGAAAGUCUCUUUUUAAACAUUCUCCAUAAGGAUAUUUUAAAAGGCAUCCUAGUAUGCUAGAGAUUGUUUAGAAAACUAAUUUUUGAUCUUUGGUUUCUAACUAGCUGUCAUGCGGAUAAUUAUAAAAAAACAUUUUCGGUGCAUUGUCAACGGGGCAAUCCUUCUCAGUGUUGUCACCUAUUGCUAGGUUGGAUAUCAUAUACACAAUGUAAUUGGAAACAAUAUUGUUUAACUUGAUGAUGUUCCAAGAAUUAUUUAGAAUGAAAGAAACCCGAGCCUUGGCAAAGCUUAGCCAAGGCCCCUAUACUUAUCGAAUUGUCCAACCAAAAACUAGAAUUGCCUUGUUGUACUUUUUAAAUAAUGUGUGGUUCUACUUGCUUUUUCAUUUUCAUCAAGCUUUUCACAUAGUUGACACUUUUCAAAUCGGAUGAGAUCUUUUGGAGUAUUUGCUGAUUAAAAAUUGAGCCUAGAGAGAAGUUUGAGUUUUGAACCUUCACCAUCUCUUUACAAUCAAGGAGUUGCAAAUAUCUCUCAUGCUUCUAAUUCCAAUACCUCCUUCAUCUUUCGGGAUACACAAGUUAUCUUACUUAGACUAGUGGUACUUAUUUUUGCCAUCACUAUCUCCCCAUAAGAAGUGAGCAAGAUGUUUCUCAAUCAGACUAAGAGUGCCAAUAGGAGGGUUAAUGGCUGACAAGGUAUGUAUAGGAAUAUAUUAUAGCACAUGAUUAAUGAGAGUGACAUUAAUACCUCCAUGAGAUAACAUUUACUUUGCUAUCCAUUUAUCCUUUUAACAAUCUUUGCAACCAUGUUAUCAAAAUAACUAUGAUCUUCUUAUCAUGGUAGAUUGGACAACCCAAACAGAAGAAGGAAAAAAAUUUAUCCAUGUAUCUAGUCAUUCUCCUAAGCCUGUUAAUUCUCUAUGGAGUCAUAUUAGGAGUAGUAAUAACGAAACUGUUAGCAUUAUUAACUAGUUGACCAGAGGCAUCCUCAUAUCUUCUAAUUUGAUAUAUAGUUUUAUUAUUACCCCCACUGAAAAUAACUAUGUCAUCAGCAUAUGUAGGUGAUUAACGAUGAGGCCAUUAAUGUUCAUGUUAAAAGUAGUAAAAUAAUCAUGAGAAUUGAAUCUAUUUAACAUUCUAAACAACAAUUCAGAGCCAAUUAUAAAAAGAGAAGGGAAAAGAGGAUCUCCUAGUUUAAGAUCAUGUGAGGAACUAAGAAAACUCACUCUCACACCGUUGAAGAAUAGAAUACCACAUGUUGAUGAUGAUUCUCCAUAUCAGUUUAAGUCAGAUACCCCCUAAAUUAAAAAAAAAAACAAAUUGUUUCAUGACGCUCAUUAAAAAUUACCAGAACAUUUUGUCAUAUGUCUUAGUCAUGUCCAAUUUCAUAAUGACAUUGCCCCCUCUACUGAGUGGUGCCGCUCUAGCAAGAGCUUCUAUAAUUAUUUGAAGCUCUAUAUUUGAAGGAUCAUUUGCUACCAUUGCUUGAUGAAGGAAAAAAAAUUAUAUUUAAAUUCAAGAAAUUUAUCAUGCAUAGAAAGUCCUAAUAUUAGGGUAAGUAUUAAUAUCACAAUUUUAUCAUCAUCUUAUUCAUUUUUAUGUGUCUAUUGUAUCAAAAAUAAGUUUUUAUUUUAUUUCUCCAUUUCAAUAUCAUAAUAAAACGAGUUUAAAUUUUAUGCGUUGUGUACAAAAUAUUCUACACCAGGUAAAUUAAAUAAUUAACACCAAGUUUGCAUAAUUAAAAUUUAGGAAAUAAUUUUAAUAGAAGAAUCCUAAUUGUACUCUAACAAGAUUAGUUAUUAUUUCCUUUUAUAAAGCAAAUCAAAAUCUAAUUUUUCCAUAUUUCUCUCUCAACAAAAUCAUCAGAAUUAAUGAAAUAAUUUUGCAUGCUUAAUGACAUCAAACUUGCAACAAAUAAUUUUUCCAAUCCAUCGACAUCAAUAUUCAAUAAUUCUUCAUGCCAUAAAUGCUUUAAAUUGCAAGAAGUAAUUCUUCCAUACUUGAAACUGUUGAUCCUCAAAAUAUGGUCCUCAUUUAUUUUAGGUAAGGGAGUCAAUUGAAUCCCUUAUUAAUCAUACCAUCGGCUCAUUAAAAUUGGUCUUUCUUUCUACUACAUAUACCAUCUAUAUAAACAAAUUGUUGAAGUAAUAUUGAAAUUUUGUCUCUCAGUUGUUCAUUGGUGAUGAAAAACAUCCUGGGCAAUUGCAAAUCUUUGUCAAUGUUAGCUGCUAAUUAUAGCUCAUGUCGUAGAGCUUGUUUGUCCCAGCUUGUCUCAAUUAACAAUUCAUUCAUGGCGAGACGCAAUUGCUAUAAUUUGCCAAUGUUGUCUUCUUUGUGUUCGACUUAUUCGAGUAGUACUACUUACUGUUCCUGUUCCUACUCCUACGGAAAGAAAAGGAGAAGGAGGAUCUCCUUGGUUGAUGCUGACUCCGCCCCCGGAGAACACAUCUGUCUACAAAUUCUACAUACCGUCCAAAAAAGUCAUGAGAAUAGUGCCAGUGAAAGGUACUCAUCAGGAGCCAUCUGAUUCUCAUUCCGUCUUCUUGGGAUCACCAUAUCAAGGAUGGAUGGCCUAUAUACGACGAAAAGAUUGGCAAUAUUUUCUAUUUAGCCCACUCUCUGGCAAAAAAAAUCAUCCUUCCACCCCUUGAAUACUCUCUUUCUUGAAAAAGUAAGUUGGAGCGACAGAUCUGGUAUGGUCGAAAGCUUUACUUCAAACCACGACGACCCGAAUACUCGCGAUUCCCCAGAAGAUUAUUCCAGACACAUUAUUAGAGAUGUUGUUCUCUCGUCAUCUCCUAUGGAUGAUGGUUGCAUAGCUUUGAUUAGUUUAUUGGGUUCAAAGUAUAGAUAAAGUGUGAAUUGAAAAUAGAGGAAACUAAGUGGAAGAAAAAAUAGAAAAGAAAACACUAAAAUGAACAGUGUACACUAAAAUGGAAAGUCUACUAUUUCUUCCAUAUUGGUGGGAGAAUGUGACUUUCAAGUGUUUAUAUUAAGAAAUACUUAUUCCACUUGGUAAGUGAGGCAAGAAGUAAGAGAUGCCUCGUGCCGUUGUCGUCGCUCGCUCGGCUUCGGCUUUGGAUCUAUGAGAUCUAUCUUUUUGGACAAAAUUUAUUUGACAGAAAUUUAAUCCGAAGGGAAAAACAUAGUAAAUUAAUUUUUAUGUUUUGAUCCUCCAGUUAUAUGCAUGCAUGCAGUAUUUCGAACUGAUGCUUCAGAAGGACACACUGAUUCAUGAAAUGGUUUGCCUGUUCGGAAAAGAUGCAAUCUUUGGACGAACAGACAUGAUUUUUCAGGAAAAGUCUCACCUUUAAGUGAACCAUUGCCACUUUUCCCAAGAGGCAUAUGAAGGCUAUAUAAAUCUGCUUUCAUCCACAGGUUUAGACACAAAUUUUCUGAAUUACAAACUCUCUUCUUGUUUUCAAAACAUUCUGUGUGAUCAAUCAAACUGUUGAGUGAGUUCGUUGAAUUCAACAAUUUGAGGUACCGCCAUUGUUCGGAUUGAAGACCAUUUUAUCCUGGGAGGAAGAUUCCAUAACCUCGGGUACAGUGAGGGAAAUUAUUCCUUAAGGACACUCCAUAAAGUCGGGGGACUUGGCCUUACAAAUUCUAUUUCAUCUAUUUUCUGAAAAUAAACACACUUCUUAGAUAGAUUAUUUAUAAUCUAGUGUUAAAGGUGUUAAGUAACUUCAAAAGUGUUCUUAUCUUAGACUUGAACUAGAGUUGAAGUUGGUGUUGCAUGUAUACAGAUUCUUGUACCCGAACACCAUACAAUAACAAUCUUAAGGAAUAAAGUUGCAGAAUCUGUAUUGCUUGUUUUUGGAGAUUAAAGCUUUAAGCUUUCUACUCCGUUUGAACUUAACUAAUGAUUCGAAGACAUAAAAUCUUCAUCACAAGUUAAAGAUCACUCGGUUGACGAUUGAAAGUCAUAAAAACUUCAUCGUUAACUAGAAACAAGAAGAAGAGUUUAAAGUUGCUUAACUUUAUAAGUAGUAUUCUAAAAAUACUAAAUUUUAUUGUCUUGUGGUGACAGGAAAAAUGACUAACGAAAGUCAAAUGCAAGAUGCGGCUACGAAUGUAGGGGGCAACUAGUAUUGCCUCAACAAGUCGAGCAAAUGCUCCACAACCUAUGGCACCUGCGGAGAAGCCCAGAAAAUUUGUGGGCAUUGACUUUAAGAGAUGGCAGCAGAAGAUGUUUUUCUACCUCACAACACUAUGUCUUCAAAGGUUCAAUAGUGAGGAUGCUCCUGAGGUGCCCGAGGGAACCUCGGACAAAGAGCGUUUCAUAAUUGUAGAGGCUUGGAAGAACUCAGACUUUCUUUGCAGGAAUUAUAUCUUGAGUGGUCUCCAAGACGACCUCUAUAAUGUUUACAGUGGAACUAAGACAUCAAAGGAAUUGUAGGAGGCACUAGAAUAAAAAUACAAGACAGAGGAUGUGGGAAUCAAGAAAUUCUUUGUUGCAAGGUUCCUGGACUUUAAAACGAUAGAUAGCAAAUUGGUUGUCUCUCAAGUACAGGAAUUGCAAGUAAUCAUCCACGAUCUCUUAGCGGAAGGUAUAUCUUUAAAAAAUACCUUAGUUGAACAAAUUGAAAAUGUUCUUAGUACUCAUAUAAACUAUUUGUAGGUUUGAUUGUGAAUGAUGCAUUUCGAGUAGCAGCGAUCAUUGAGAAACUACCACCUAUGAGGAAAGACUUCAAAAACUACUUGAAGAACAAACGCAAGUAGAUGACUGUCUAAGAUCUUAAUGUCCGACUACGUAUUGAAGAGGAUAAUAAGGCUACCGAGGGAAGGUCAAAAGGGAAUUCUACAAUUAAUGGAGCACAUAUUAUAGAAGAUGACUAAAACAAUUUUAAGAAAAGGAAGAAAGUUGAACCAGAAAGCAAUAAACCCAAGAAGAAAUUCAAGGAAAAGUGCUUCAACUGUGGCAAGAUUGACCAUAAGUCCAUGGAUUGUUGUGCCCCUAAGAAAGGCAAGAAAAAGGACCAAGCAAAUAUGAUUGAGUCCAACAAAGAAUGUGAUGAUCUGUGUGCUAUGUUUUCAGAAUGCAACUUGGUGGGGAAUCAUCAUGAGUGGUGGAUGGAUUCUGGUGCCACCCGUCAUGUUUAUGCAUACAAAGAGUUGUUUUCGUCAUUUACUUCGGCUCAAGUAGAAGAAAUGGUCUACAUGGCUAACUCCGCUACGGCUAAGGUAGAAGGAACAGGAAAAGUGAGCUUGAAAAUGACUUCAGGAAAGGUCUUGACACUUAACAAUGUCUUGUACGUUCUGUAAUUACGUAGGAACUUGAUUUCUAUUUCACUUCUAGAUAAGAACGGAUUCAAAUGUGUAAUCAUUUCUGGAAAAAUUAUAAUUAGCAAAGGAGAAAUGUAUGUAGGAAAAGGCUAUCUCACCGAGGGACUUUAUAAGAUGAAUGUAAUGAGUGAUGAAAUCAAUAAAAAUUUAAAUUCUUCUUACUUGCAUGAGUCUUAUUGUGUGGAAUGAACGUUUAGGCCAUGUUAAUUACAAAACGUUACAAAAAUUGAUUAACUUAGAGGUUUUGCCAAACUUUGAGUGCAAUAAAUCAAAGUGUCAAACGUGUGUGGAAUCAAAGUAUGCAAAGCAUCCUUAUAAGUUCGUUGAAAGAAAUUCCAAUCCCUUAGACUUAAUACACACUGACAUUUGUGAUAUAAAGUCAACACCAUCACGUGGUGAGAAAAGUAUUUCAUAACUUUUAUUGACGAUUUCACUAGAUAUUGUUACGUCUACUUGCUAAAUAGUAAGGAUGAAGCAAUAGAUACAUUUAGGAAAUACAAAAAUGAAGUAGAAAAUCAGUUAGAGAAAAAAAUAAAAAUGAUAAGAAGUGAUAGGGGCGGAGAAUAUGAAUCUUCCUUCGCCGAAACAUGUGUAGAGAAUGGAAUCGUCCAUCAAACUAUGACCCCGUAUUCACCUCAAUCUAACGGAAUUGCGAAAAGAAAAAACCAAACGUUGAAGGAAAUGAUGUAUGCCUUACUUAUAAGUUCCGGUUUACCUAAAAACUUGUGGGGGGAGACCAUCCUUACAACCAAUAGUAUACUCAAUAGAGUUUUUCAUAGUAAGACACAAUCAAAUCCUUAUGAAAAAUGGAAAGGAAGAAAACCCAACUUGAAAUAUUUUAAAGUAGGGGGUGUCUUGCUAAGGUCCAAGUUCCUAUGCCUAAAAAGGUUAAGAUAUGACCUAAGACUAUAGACUGCAUGUUCAUAGGAUAUGCUAAAAACAGUAAAGCAUGCCGGUUUUUAGUUCAUAAAUCUGAACAUCCGAAUAUAAAUGAAAAUACGAUAAUUGAAUUAGAUAAUGCUGAAUUCUUUAAAAACAUUUAUCCGUAUAAAAUUAGACAUGAAUAGUCUAGUGAAGGAUCUAAAUGACCACGAGAUGCACCAAGUGAGAAUGUACAUAAUGAAGAGAAUCCAAGAUGUAGUACACGUCAAAGAACGUCUACUUCAUUUGGAUCAGAUUUUAUAACAUUUCUCUUAGAAAAUAAGCCUCAAACAUUUAAAUAAGUGAUGUCGUCAUCAGACUCAUCCUUUUGGAAAGAGGCAGUCAACAGUGAGAUUGAUUCAAUCAUAAGCAACCAUACGUGAGAAUUGGUUGAUCUUUCUCCAGGAAAUAGACCUUUAGGUUCUAAAUGGAUUUUCAAAGGGAGAAUAAAAGUGGAUGGUACUAUUGACAAAUACAAGGCAAGACUUGUAGUAAAAGGCUUCAAACAAAGAGAAGGCCUUGAUUACAUUGAUACAUACUCGCCGGUAACAAGGAUAACGUCGAUUCGAAUGUUAAUUGCCUUAGCGGCGGUAUAUGGUGUUGAAAUCCAUCAAAUAGAUAUGAAAACCACAUUCUUAAAUGGACAUGUGGAUAUGUAUUUACUAUCAGUGGAGGAGAAGUCUCUUGGAAAUCGUCCAAACAGACUUGUAUUGCUCGCUCUACAAUGAAAUCUGAAUUUAUCGCAUUGGAUAAAGCCGGUGAAGAAGCAGAAUGGCUCCAGAAUUUUUUGGAAGCUAUUCCUUAUUGGCCCAAACCAGUGGCAACAGUAUGUAUACACUGUGACAGCCAAGCGACAAUAGGUAAGGCAGGGAGCAUGAUGUACAAUGGUAAAUCUCAUCACAUACAACAGAGACAUAAUACCAUUAGAGAACUUAUUUUUAGUGGAAUUAUCACUGUUGACUAUGUUAAGUCAAAGGAUAAUGUGUCGGAUCCACUUACAAAAGGACUAUCUAGAGAAGGAGUGGAAAGGACAUCCAAGGGAAUGAGUUUAAGGCCUAGGACAAGUCAGCAUGGCGGUAACUCUACCUAGCAGACCGGAGAUUCCAAGAGCUAGGUUCAAGGAGAUCAAAAAAUAUUGUGUCUGACAGGUUCAACAUUGACAAUUAACCAACCCAUUCUCAUGAUGUAGACAAUGGUUAGUAAACAAGGAUAAGACUUAAGGUGAAAAGUCUUUUAAUGAUUAUCUAAAUUUGGCAGAUUUGACCAAAUAGGUUAAUCUAUAGGAUUGAACAUUCAAAAAUCACCUAUGUGAAGGCGAAGUGGAAGCUGUUUCAAGGAUGAUGUCAGUAAAGGCCUAUUCUCUAAGCUCUCAUGAAACCGGGACGUGUUCAUGGCUGAAAAAAAUAAAAUCAUGAGAACCAUAAACGGUAAAAGGCUGGUUGUGUGACAUGUGUUGUCUAGUUGUACAUUAAAGCUCGAUGGUUCAACUAUAUCAAAUCUACCAAUUGACCGAGUGCAUCUGAUGCAUGUUCACUACGGAAAGUUCAAAGAGAAACCCGUUUAUCCAGAUGCAAUCAGUCUUUGCUUGAUGAUCACAUACUUAUCCAUAAAAUUUUAUGAAAAAUAGUCAUUCCCCAUUCAUGUGGGGGAUUGUUGGAUUCAAAGUAUAGAUAAAGUAUGAAUGGAAAAUGGAGAAAACUAAGUGAAAGGAAAAUAGAGAAGAAAACACUAAAAUGGAAAGUGUACUCUAAAAUGUAAAGUCUACUAUUUCUCUGACAUUGGUGGGAGAAUGUGACUUUCAAGUGUUUAUAUUAAGAAAUACUUAUUCCGCUUGGUAAGUGAGGCAAGAAAUAAGAGAUGCCUCACACCGUCGUCGUUGCUCGCUCGGCUUGGCUUCAGAUUUGGAUUUGAAUUUGUCAAAUGAUCGAUUGAUGAGAUCUUUCUUUUUGGAAAAAAUUUAAUCCUUCAGUUAUAUGCAUGCAUGCAGUGUUUCAAACUGAUACUUCAGAAGGAUGCACUGUUUCAAAUUGAUGCUUCAGAAGGAUGCACUAUUUCAAGCUGAUGCUUCAGAAGGAUGCACUGUUUCAAACUGAUGCUUCGGAAGGAUGCAAUCCUUUGAUGAAAUAACACACUGAUUCAUGAAAUGGUUUGCCUGUUUGUAAAAAAUGCAAUCUUUGAACGAACAAACAUGAUUUUUCAGGAAAGGUCACACGUUUAAGUGAACCAUUGCCACUUUUAAGAAGAGGCAUAUGAAGGCUAUAUAAACCUACUUUCAUUCACAGGUUUAGACAUAAAUUUUCUGAAUUACAAACUCUCUUCUUAUCUUUAAAAUAUUCUGUGUGAUCAACAAACUAUUGAGUGAGUUCGUUGAAUCCAACAAUUUGAGGUACCGCUAUUGUUCAGAUUGAAGACUAUUUUAUUCUAGGAGAAAAAUUCCAUAACCUCGGGUACAAUGAUGGGAAUUAUUCCUUAAAGACACCCCGUGAAGUCGGGGGACUUGGCCUUACAAAUUCUAUUUCAUCUAUUUUCUGAAAAUAAACACACUUCUUAGAUAGAUUAUUCAUAAUCUAGCGUUGAAGGUGUUAAGUAACUUCAAAAGUGUUCUUAUCUUAAACUUGAACUAGAGUUGAAGUUGGUGUUGCAUGUAUACAGAUUCUUGUACCCGAACACCAUACAAUAACAAUCUUAAUAAAAUUAUUUAUUUAUUAUAUAAUAAAAUAAAGUCACAAUAUUGGAUUAAUUAGUUGACUUAUAUGAUGAUUGUUAAGAAAAAGGUGAACAGUCGUGAAUUUUUUCUUAACAAUCAUCAUAUAAGUUAAGUUAAUUAAUUAAUCCAAUAUUGCGACUUCUUUUUUAUGAUAUAAUAAAUAAAUAAUUUUAGAAAAUAAAUUUAAAAACAAAAAUAGUAAAAAGUCACGAUCAGUUAUUGAAAUAUAUUAUGUGCAUAACAUUAAUGGUCAUUACCAUAAAUAUUUUGAUAUUUUAUUUGAUACAUAAUAUAUUUUUUACAAAAUAUAUUCUUAUAGAUAAAAUAGUUUUACAAAGAAUGUACCACUAUAAUAAAUAACAUUGUUGUUAUAGAGAAGUAAAAUAUAACAUGAAAAAUCGAGUUCGAAGAAAAUCAGACCACUAUAAGUGAAAUGUCACUAUAACGAGGUGACGUUGAAGAGAUGUCUGAUUGAAUCUAUAUCUAUAUCUAUAAUAUAGAUAUAGAUAAGGUGUGAAGAAACUUGGGGCUUUAAGCUGUAGGUGACACAAGUUUUAAUUAUUGAGUGGAGGAGACAAUUACUUUAUUAUGGAUUAAUAAAGUUGGGAAAGUUUGAAAAUAACCUACAAGUUUUUUAAUCUAUACUUUGAUCCAAAUGUUAGUUAAUAUAAUAGGAAACGGGGGGAAAAGACGCGUUUCUCUCUCUUCUCAUCCAUUGUUAUUUUCUCUCUCUUCAUGAUUAUUGUUGUUCAUUGUUGUUGUUGCUUUAUUCAUCAUCUUCUGCUUCAUUAUCAUCAUCUUCUACUUCAUUAUCAUCUUCAUCUUCUUCUUAUCGACCAUUGUUGUUGUUGUUGUUACCACUACUUAUGCUAUCUGACCAAUUUCUUAGCUAAAAUUUUAUUUUCUACAUCACUUUCUACUUUGACAUUACUUCAUAGAUGACUUCGGUAAGUAAAAUUAUAAUUUUUAUUUGAAUUUGUCAUCUGGGUACACAGUUACUACUAUUUUUCCAACAAUGGAUAGAACCCGAUCAUGAAUCCAACAUAAGUGCCCACAAUUUAAAAAGAUCACUCAUCUGGUGCAUCAGAUGAGUAAUCUGUUGCAACUGAAGAUUUAUCUGUUUCUGUAGACUAGUUAUUUGUUGCAUCAGACUGAUUAUCUGUUGCCUCAGACUGCUUAUUUGUUGCCUCAGACUGCUUAUCUAUUGCAACAGAUGAUUAAUUUGUUUGGAACAAUAUAAAUCAGCCCCUACCACAAACCCAACAGAUAACCAAUAUGUUUCAACUGUUGCUAUGUAAACUGGAUUCAAAAUUAUUUUUUACGUUUAAUCGUCGACUUGUUUGUUGAAAAUAUAAUAGACAGAAUGAAAAUUAAAUACUUCCUCGGCUAAAAUUAUCCGUUCCAAAUUUUUUAAUUUAAUUUCUCAUUUUACUUGUCUUUUUUCAUUAAUCAUGUUUUACCCUUUGCAUUAAUCACUUUUUCUUCAAAUUAAAAUGUAAACAUCAUUUAAUAGGGGCAUUAUGGUAAACUAGGCAUGUUAUUAAUUAUUUUUCUUAAUUAAUGUGUCAUCUCAAUUUUGGACGGGUAAUUUGAGAUGGAGGGAGUAUGAAUUAGAAUGUCAAAGCCGUGCAACAGACUAGUUAUCUAUUGAUAUAGACUAGCUAUCUGUUGCAUCAGACUGCGUAUCUGUUGCAACAUAUGAGUAAUCUGUUUGGAACAACACAAAUCAGCCCCUGCCAGAAACCCAACAGAUAAAUCUUGCUAUUGCUACUGGAUUCAAAAUUAUUCUUUUCGUCCAAUCGUCGACAUGUUUAUUGAGAAGGUAAUAGACAGAAUAAAAAUUAAAUAUGAUUUAAAACGUCAAAGUUGAUCAAACAUAAUUUUUUUAUUAAACUAAAACAAAUAAAAAUACUUACACAUAGACGAGGCUAAAAGAAAAAAGUAAUCUUCUUCUUUUUCUUCUUCUUCUUCUUCUUCUUCUUCUUCUUCUUCUUCUUCUUAUUAUUAUUAUUAUUAUUAUUAUUAUUAUUAUUAUUAUUAUUAUUAUUAUUAUUAUUAUUAUUAUUAUUAUUAUUAUUAAUAUUAUUGCCAGCCGGCCAAUCUUCCACAGGUAGCAGCAAGGCCCUCCUCAACCAUCGGAUCUCACGGAGCAUCCUUGCUCUAACUGCUCCCAGUUUUCAUUGCAGGUCAUGAACCUGCAUCUGAAGUUCUUUCAUGGUGUCUUGUAGAAUAGCCAUGUCUUACACUGGAUCAUCCAUAUCUAGAAUACAUAUGAAUUGACAAAAAAUGUAAAAAUAACAGUAAAGAAAAGAAUAUUCGAAUGUAAUACAACGCAUAUACUACAAAUUGGCAAGAAAAAAACUUACCUGAGUCAGGAAAGAGAAAAAUGUGGAAGGUGUAAUACGAAAGACAAGAUGCAAUAAAUAAAUGGAGUGUAGCUGAAUGAACGAAUGAGUAAAGAGAGACCUAUUUAUAGAGAAUUGAAUUUGAAUAAGUGACAAAAAGGCGCAACUGUUCACCUCUAUUUAUUAAUUAUAUUUUUUAUUACUGCGAAAAGGUAUAACUUCAAUUAAAUUAAGAAAUAUUGUGAUAAGUCAUGACUUUUCAGAUUAUUAUUAUUAUUAAUUAGUUCUUUCAAGAACCAUUUUUAUUAAGUUGUGACAACAGAUAUAUCAUCUAUUGCAACAAAUAGAGAACCUGUUGCAUCAGAUAAUCUAUCUGUUGCAAUAUUUAAUCUAACUGUUCAUCUCGAUUUAUUAGUUAUAUUUUUUAUUACUGUGAAAAGUUAUGACUUCAAUUAAAUUAAGAAAUAUUGUGAUAAGUCAUGACUUUUCAAAUUAUUAUUAUUAAUUAGUUCUUUCCAAGAACCAUUUUUAUUGAGUUGUGACAACAGAUUCUAUAUCUGUUGCAUCAGAUAACUCAUCUGUGACAACAGAUAUACCAUCUGUUGCAACAAAUAAAGAACUUAUUGCAUCAGAUAAUUUAUCUGUUGCAACAUAUAAUCUAUCUUUUAAAAAAAAUAUCAUCAUAUCAUUAAUUCAAAUUUGCUGACUUUUUUAUUAUAUAAAUUAAAAACAUACCUUUGAAUAACCGUUUCUUUAAUAAAAUAAUAAAAUUUUUUAUUGAAUUCUAGUAACAGAUUGUAUAUCUGUUGAAUCAAAUAAACCAUCAGUUGCAACAGAUAUAAUAAUAACCAUUUUUAUUGAGUUCUGGUAACAGAUUGUAUAUCUGUUGAAUAAGAUAAACCAUUAGUUGCAACAGAUAUACGAUCUGUUGCAACAAAUGGACGAUCUGUUUUAAUAGUUUUUUUUAUUUCUUCUAAAAACUAAUACAUCAGUCACAACAGAUGGGAAAUUUGAUGCAUCAGCAACAUUGUUGAAUGUGUUUUAGACAAAAUGUCACUUUGACUUUAAUAAUUGAUCGUGAAUUUUCACCAUUUUUGUUUUUAAAUUUAUUUUUUCAAAAUUAUUUAUUUAUUAUAUAAUAAAAAAAGUCACAAUAUUGGAUUAAUUAAUUAACUUAUAUGAUGAUUGUUAAAAAAAAGGUGAAUAAUCGUGACUUUUUUCUUAACAAUCAUCAUAUAAGUUAAGUUAAUUAAUUAAUCCAAUAUUGUGAUUUCUUUUUUAUUACAUAAUAAAUAAAUAAUUUUAGAAAACAAAUUUAAAAAUAAAAAUAGUAAAAAGUCACGAUCAAUUAUUGAACUUUUUACACUUCAGUAAAAGUCUUCGCAAUAGAUAAAAUUAUUUAAUUUAAAAUAGUCAAACGUUACAAGUACGAGACAGUGUGUUUAAACUAGUUAACUUAAUACAAAACGAGCUCAAUUACUCAUCAGAAUAUUUAUUUAGCCACUCAAACUAAGCCACGUUCCGAUUACACACCUCAAUUCCUAAUAAAAUUUCAAUUAACCACUUUUAGUUUUAAUUUUAAUUUUUUUUGUACGUGUAUAUUUUCACUCAUAUGUUAGAUAGCUAAAUUAAGUAAUUUAUAAAAGGACAAAGUCAUCGAUAGACACUCAAACUUGUUGCCAAAAUUUACUUAGAUACACCUAAACUAAGGCCUGUUCCUAUCAGAUCCCUAAACACCCCACAUUUUGUUCCAAUUGGGCAUAUUUGGCCUACGUGGCACUGCGCGUGUUGUUUAGUCGCGGGUGGCGCGUGACUUGUGAAAAAGUUGUCUAUGUGGCAAACAUUAACGUUAUUUAACGUUACUUUUGUCAUCCCCUUCAAUUUCCCUCUAUUUUUACCUAAUUUCAUCUUCUUCUUUCUUUAUUCUCUCCUCCAUAGCUGAUUUUCCUCUCAACCUCUCUCAUCUCACUAUCAAAUUUAUAUCAUAAUUUCUCUUAAAUCAAAUUUUUUUUCAUUUUCCAUGAGAUUGUCGGAAUUCCGUUAACAUUGAGGUUCUCGAUUUGUGUUAUUGUUACGAAUUUUGUCCAUUAAGAACUUCAUCAAAUCCUGGUCGUAGAUUUUUUGGAUGUAAAGUUCCAAAUAUUUGUAUCAUUUUGACAGAUUUUAAUUUUAUUUUUUGAUAAUUUUUUAAUUAUUCUUCAGUUUUUGCAUUUUAGGAAAAUGGUGGAUGUGGGUACUUUAGAUGAAUUGAUUCAAAACCUUCAAUUUUUGUGCAUCAAUAUCCUGAGGUAGAAUCGAGCUUAAUGAUAAAGUGCAAAGGUGGUGAAAAUUCGUGUGAUCGAUUGAAGCAAAAGCUCAAAGAUGUUGAACAAGAGAGGGACACUUUGUGUGAGAAAUUGAAAGAUGGUGAAGAGAAGUUGAUUUCAUUGAGGCAAAAACUCAAAAAAGUUAAACUUGAAAGGGAAUGUGCUAAGCUCAAAUUGAAUAGACUUGUUCUACUUCUUCUCAUUGUUCUUACUGUAAAGUGGUUCUUUACUAUGGUGUAAUGGUUAGUUUGUUGUAGUUGUUUGGUUAGUUUAGUUUGUAAUGGAUUUGUAAUGGUUAGUUUGUAGUAGUAGUAGUUUGUUGUAGUUGCUUGGCUAGUUUGUAGUUUGUAGUAGUAGUUUGUUGUAGUUGCUUGGUUAGUUAGUAGUGGUAGUUUGUUGUAGUUGUUUGGUUAGUUUAUAGUAGUAGUAGUAGUUUGUUGUAGUUGUUUGGUUAGUUUAUAGUAGUAGUAGUAGUUUGUUGUAGUUGUUUGGUUAGUUUGUAGUAGUAUUAGUUUGUAGUAGUUAUUUAAAUGAAUCCACAUGUUUUGUAUACAAUCUUAUUGUCAAUUGGCUACUUUGUGUCUAGUUGUGUAGCUACUUAACCAUAUAGCCUAUUUGUAACUACUGAAGGUAUUGAUAAAAAUGAACUAUAUUAGAAGCAUCACAUCCAUCUUAUUAAAAUUGCUCAAGAUUGAACUAAAAGUGCAAGCAGCUGGAUAUCAUAUUUAUACAACUCAAAAUUGAGCUAAAACUGCAUACAGUAAUCAAGGUGUUCAAAUAAAGCUCAACAUUGAGCAUAAUAGUGUUCAACUGCAGCAUACACCAAAAUCAUUAAUUGCUGCCUAAGAAAAAGUUGUUCAAAAACUAGUAAAACAAUUUGUUCAAAGUCAUUAACCCUAAUUACAGUACAAAUCAUUUCUAAAUGAACUACUUCUUUGAAGAUCCAACUGAUGAAGAAGAAUUGGCUGCAUCCAUUUUUUUUUCUCUUAUUUGCUUUCAUUGUUGCAAUUGUGUAUUGGUGACUGCAUCUUUUCCAUUCCAUUUUAGGCUACUAGGUUUAAAACCAAUAUCUAUAUUGGUUGGUGAGGUACUCUUUAAAUUUAUACCCUCAGAAAGAACCCUCUCAGUUGAUGUACCAGGAUGCAAAAUUAGAAAUAAUUGUAAGACAAUGAACAUUGAAAACUUGAAUGAAAACAUUGUUAUAGAUAAAUAAUGAGACAUAGAGAAAUACAUUGUACACUUGGGUUUCAGUUAUUGGAUCAGAGUAAACACCAAAACCAGUUGCAGGCCUUUUGUAUGCAGUAGCAGCAACAAAUGAGGUAGCAUUGUAUGGCCUCUUGUUGGUUGGCAAAGGUGGUACUUGACUAGAAAAAGUAUUUCUUCCACUUUCAAAUGGGGUCCCUUUUGCAUUGGCUAUUUUUCUUGCCAAUCCUUUACCAAUCCCUCCUUGACCUCUAUCAGAACCACCCGCCUCUCAACACCAUAUUGAACCCUACCAGAACCACCUCCCCUAUCAGCACCACAUUGACCCCGACCAGAACCACCUCCCCUAUCAACACCACAUUGAACCCGACUAGAACCACCUCCCCUAUCAGCACUACAUUGACCCCUACCAGAAUCACCUCCCCCGUUAACACCACAUUAACCCCUACCAGAACCACCUCCUCUAUCAGCACCACAUUGACCCCUACCAGAACUAUAUUUACCUCUACCAGCAGCACAUUAACCUCUACCAGCAGCACUUGACACCUUUCUUUGAGGUGGUCUUGGUACAGCAGCUGUGUCAGCACAAAUAGAUCCUGAUUGAUUGGAUUGUGUAGUUGCAUAUGAAUGAAAGGCGUAGCUUGACUGUGAAUAAAUGCAACACAAGAUUUUCAACAGUUUUUAAUAAUAAUAUUAAGAAGGAGGGGAAUAUUAAGGUAGCAGAACAUAUAUAACUUACUCUUGCUAUCUGACUUUGAGUGUAGGUAUCUCUUGCCAUUGCAUUGGUGUCACUACAAAUAGAACUUGAUUGUGGUGGUGGUGGAUUCCAUGAAGCUGAAGGCUGAGUGCUAGGUUGACUACUAUUACUGCUUCCCAUACCAUUCUAACAUACAAACAUAAAUAUAAAAAGUUAAGAAAUAUGUUAACUUUACAAAGUAUUAUGAAAAUUCAUUUAAGGCUUACCAUUUUGGCACACAUAGUCUUGUUAUGGCCAACUUGCUUGCACCUUGAACAGGUGAUCUUGACACCUUUUUUUUUGAGAGUUUGCCCCACUUUUUUGGCUCAUCCUUGCUCUUUCUUCUGUUCUUGCCAGGUCUUCCUGGCAUCUUUCUUGGUUUUGGAGGUUCAAUUGAUGGGUUUUGGGUUUCCGGCCAUAUUCUCAUGUUUGUAAUUGGUUGCCUGAAAUGACUAUAAGACUUAAGAAAGGUUUCUAGCAACCAGCUUUGAAUCACACAUCUUGUUCUUGUUUAGAGGUAUACACUUGUGAAUAGGGUUAUAGUUCUUCACAAUAAAAUCACCCGAAUCCCCAUCAGUAAAAGCAAACAGCAACUAGUUGCAAUUGGCUGUAAUGUACAUCGCCCUUAUUCUAUUUUUUCGUUAGGUUUUAACUAUAACUGCCUUCUAUACUCUACAGCAUAAUCUGCAUCGGCUUUUCUAAACUGUUUUACACCCUCAAAAAUCAUCCCAAGCUCAAACAUAAAAAACUCACAAUUUUCAUCAUACCUAGUUUUCUUACUUCUUCUUCAUCUAGGUAGAUCUACUCUUCUAACAGCAUCCACAUCUAUAUCUUUACCAUCUUCACUCCAACAAUCAAAACUAUCAAGAUUUUCCUCAUCUCCACCCAACUUUCCAGAAUAUUUGCUAGCCUUAUUUUUACCAAUAUCCCCAAAGUCUCUAUCUACACAACUAGCAACUCUCACAGGUACUUGUUCAGUUUCAACAACCUUUUUUCUUGCUUUUUGAUUUCUUUGUUUAUUGUUGGCUUUGUUUUUCCUUCUUUCUUAUCUAAAUGCCCUCAACUCCUCAUCAACAUCUGAGCCAUCUUCUGAAGGAAUAUCUCCAAGAUCUGAAUCAUUACUCAAGUAAUCUGACAACUUAUUUGCUAGCCUGUUAACAUCUUCUACAUGAAUAUCUUGUACAUCAGCCUCAUCACCUCCUUCUACACCAAAAUCUUCUAGGUUAACAUCUUCUACAUGGAUAUCUUCUAUAUUAGCCUCAUCACCUUUUUCUACACCAACAUCUUCUACAUAAGUCUCCCUCUCUUUACCUAAGUUAACAUUCUCUAUCUCAAUAUCUUCUAGGUUAAAAUCUUCUAUAUCAACCUCCCUCACUUCCUCUACUCCAAUAGAUUUCCUCUCUAUGUUAGCACUAUCAUCAACACCAACACUUUCUCUUUUUGGGUCUGCACACUCAAUAAUAUCAGGUGCAGGUAAAAAAAUCAGUGGGACCAUCAGGGUCAAGAAUUGGUUCAUCUGAAACAUGAUAGACAUAAAAAUCAAUAGAGUCCUCAUGUUUUAAGUCUUUAACUAGUUCAACGAGAUGUCUGUCACUCUUCACCAGGUUGAACUGCUUAGUUACUGCAUCUUGAUAAUAAAACCCCCUAAUAGUGUCAUACCCUAAUUCUUUAGUAUAAAAUAACAAUUCCAGCAUGCAAAAGUGGUCCUUGUCAAUAUACCUUAGCUCUGGCACACAACUUGCAGCAUAUGUAGGGAUACCCUUGUUGAAAAAAGAUCCCCCAUGGUGAAAUUUUGUGAAUAUUAUCUCCAUUUGUUACGUCACCUGCAACAAAAGGGUAAGAAUUCAAAGUUAGUUAACGGAAUAUACUCAAAGUAAACACCAAUAAGUUAAAAGCUACAACUUUUAAUGCAUAUUAAGAAAGAGACGAAAUAUUCCCAAAAUCACAGCCUUAACAGUGAAAUUUCAAAACCCUAAAAACUGAAAUAUGCUAAAAUUCAACAAAAUUUAACAAAUAUAAAUCAUAAUAACACUUACACGAGGAAGAUCUGUGGAAAAUCCCCAAAUUUCUUCUUCGAUUUGAGUGGAAUUUUCGUUAAAUUAGGGUUAAUUUUAGGGUUAUCUGAGAGAGAAUUAACGGGGAGAGAGAAAAACGGCCAAAAUGAUUUCUUUUUCAUUUAAAAUGUAAUAAGUACACGUGGAUUUAGUUUAUCCACGUGGAGAGUUUUACGUGGACAACUUUCCACAUCAGUUGCGUUUGGAGACACGCGCGAAUAAGCUGAUGAGAAUAGCGAAAAAAAAUGUCCAAUUGGAAUCAAAUGUGGGGGAUUUAGGGGUCUGAUAGGAACAGACCUUAGUUUAGAUGUCUAAGUGAAUUUUGACAGCAAAUUUAAAUGCCUAUCGAUGACUUUAAACCUCGGUCAUUUUCUGCAUAUAAUUGAAGCCGACAUAAUUAAUCCUCAUUUAUUUUUUGGUUGUGCACAAGUCAUUUGAGUCCUUUAUACUGGGGACACCGCCCUAAAACGAAGGAAGUCCUUCUUCCCGUGCAAGUUACAUACUGUGAUCAAUUUUAUAUUCUCUCCGUUUCAUAAUAAAUGAAUUAUUGAAUUUUGACACAUAGAUUAAAAAAAUAUUAAAAACAUAAAAUUAACAUAACUUUCUAUUUUUACCCAAAAAAAGGAAAAAGUUGACCUUGAAAUACCUUUUCAAAAGUUAAUUGGUUGUCAAAUCAUAAGGAUAAAUUUGAAAAAAAUUUUAAUGAUUCACUUAUUUUGAAACACCAAUAAAUGCUCCCAACAAUUAACUUAUUGUGAAACGGAGAAAGUAUUAUGUUUGAACUAUAAUAACAGUUAAUUAUUAGGAGUACUGUAUAGACAAGGCUAAAGUAAUUUGAAUUUUUUUAAUUAUCUCUCAUUAAAGCAUGGCCACUUUUUCAUUGGCAGUGAAUAAUAUCUUUGGCAAUUGCGAAUCUAAUUUGUCAUUCUUAGCUAUUGCUAAUACUUGUCGAAGAAUUCAUUCAAUUGGUUUUCGCUUCUCAAAGAAUUGCUAUGCGUUACCAAUUUUGUCUUCGACUUAUUCGACUACUACUCUUCCUAUUCCUACAGAAAGAAGAAGAGUACCUUGGUUGUUGCAGCCGCCUCCGGAUUAUCAGAACUCAGAAGAAGAGCAAUGUCUAUAAAUUCUACAGGCUGUUGGAAAAGGAUGUGAAAGAAGUUGUAGUCGAAAGUGAUCCACCUCCUGAUGCUGAUUCCCGUUGUUUGGGAUCAGCGUGUCAGGGAUGGAUGGCUUAUAUACGGAAAAAAAAGACUCUCAAGUAUUUCUAUUUAACCCACUCUCUAGCCAAAAAAUCAUCCUUCCAUCCAUUGAAACCCUUCCCACUGUUAAGGGCGUCAAUCGGAACAGCCAAUCUGGUUUGGUUGAAAGCUAUAUGUCAGUUUUCGGCCCUCACCUGCGUCCCAUUUCCCCAAAAAUAUUUUCUGAAAGAGUCAUCUCAGAUGUUGUUCUCUCGUCAUCUCCUAUGGACGAUGACUGCAUAGCGGUGGUCACUUACGGCCGCGAUAGUGAAGUCGCCUUCUGCAGAAUAAGAGAUGAUCCCAACUGCUGGACUCUCCUCGAUUCGCCCUUUACAACAUGCGGUCAGAUUGUUUACCACAGUGGAAAGAAACUAUUUUACGCACUCAGCGACUGUAGUAGCAAAAUCGAAGCUUGGGAUCUUCAUAACGAUCCAAUUAAGAGGUUUCACUUUGAGGAGCAUCAGACUGAUGUCUUGGGUGGUGAGCCCUUUCCUAUUUAUAAGAGGGAUAAGGUUAAGUCAACACUCGGAAGACGGCCAGAGAGAAAGGAUUACUUGGUGUACGACCACCAAAGCGAGGAGCUUUUUGUUGUUACGCGCCACGCUUAUGAUGAACCUGAUCUCCUUCCCAACAACAAGACUACAACUUUUGGUAUUUUCAAGGCUGUUUUCAUAGACGAUCAUCUUGUGAAGCUUCAACCCUUGAAAAAGAAUAGCAUUGGCAAUCUUGCAAUCUUCCUUAACGGCGGCUAUGGGGGUUUUACUCUAUCAACUACAGAAUUUCCUGAAUUGAGGCCAAGUUCUAUUUACUUUGCUGAUAACCGGCCGUGUUGUUAUGACACUGAUUCCGAUUGGCGUUAUCAGGAUUUGGUAAUUUAUGACUACAAAGAAGAUAGCAUUAUGGACAAGAUAAACAGCAUUUCGCUACUUCGUAGUUGGCUUAUCCCUGAUGCUUAGCCUAGUCUAGGCUUUGCUGGUGUGCGGCCUAUUUUAUUAGUAUUUCUUAAAAACUAAAUCAGUAGAUUUAUCUUUAUUAACCUCAUUAUCUCCUUAGCUUGUGUCCCAUUCGGUCUUGCACUCAGUUUCUACUUUUUUCUACAAGAGUAUGUUGAAUUUCUUCUAUACUGACUUUUUACAAAAGAUCAGAAGGCUUACAAAAUCAUCUGUUAGUGGAGAUGAUGAAACAAAAAUCAAACGAACUUACAAAAAAAUUAGCUCUAUCAUAUUUGCACCUAAUGCUUGACAAUUGUCAUUUAUCUAGCAAGAAAGCUUCUCUAGUUUGUCUCGAAAGAUUGUUGUAAGAGCGAGUGAUGCGAAUUUGGUUUGAGUUGGAAGCUAGUUUUGCUAAGAAGUAUGCAACUUGAUUUUCUUCCCUAUAGCAGUGUUGAACUUGCAUUUGAUAUUGUUGAUAGAGUCUAUCAUCGGUAUGAGCUUCAUAUUGGUCACCCCGUUGUUGUUGAGCAUGCUAAGUAAGGCCAUAGACUCGAGUUCUAGAGUAGAAUUUGAUAUGUCCGAAUUGAUCGCAUCAUUUUACGCCAAACUCGGCUGCCAUGGCCUCAACCAUGUUGCUACUACUGGAAUAAACAGGAAUAUAUAAUAGAGAAGGUCAUGAUUAGCUAGGUCUCAUGACUAUUCCUUCAAUUCCAGAUCCCAAUUUUCACGUUUGUAGCUUCCAUCUGAAAGUGGAUUUUUAAAGUCCUUGCACAAGGCAAUUUGCCAUGUGACAUGUCCAAUUCUCCGUAUUGGCCUGAGACAUUCAACUUCAAGACAAAAAUCUGGCCAGUUGUUCUUCUUCUUCCCAUGAAAUCAAUUAUGCAGGGUUCAUGUCAGUUUGGCACCUUAGUUUGUCUAUCAAAAUCUUUCUUUUUCAGACAUUUUCAUUAAUAUCAUGUUUGAGUACGAGCCCUACUAAUUGUCUAUCAGUGGAACAGGUAAGUAAACGUGGUUCACAGAAGUAAAAGCUGAACACAGUAUUUUUACGUGGAAAACACCCGGCUCAAGAAAGGUGUAAAAAACCACGACCUGUACCUCUACAGGAUUUAACCCCAACUUCACUAUAAUACUUGAGCCACAACAAUCAACAAAGUUGGAAAACUUCUUGUAAACUAAGAAUUAAAACUUCUAACUCCUAUCACUACAAAAACACAAAUCUUCCCAAGAUAAGUGUUCCCAAGUCUUCGAGUUCCCUAACUUGAAGACACAACUCCUAACUCAGUUUAUAGAUCACUGAGACUAGAACAAUGACUCAUUACAAAGAACCUACCUACUACACACAGUCUACGACUUAGGUAAGGAACCAGGUUCUUCUUCAAGUAUGAGAACUGUUUUGCUGAUUGUUGAUUUUCUUUUCAGUGCAUUGAGUAAGUUACUUGAUCGUGCUUUGUUGUAUAUAUGCACACUCAUAAUUCACCUGUGAUGGAGUCCUAGUUGAUUUAUGCUUCUUUCUUCUUUCAACUCUAUCAAGUAACUUCACUCCUUGUUGUAGCCGUUUCUCCUUCCCUGGUUGAAUAGGACUCUUUUGCUUUAUCCUUUAUCCUUGCA